Molecule: long non-coding RNA, 993 nt
Organism: Sorghum bicolor (sorghum)
Lineage: Eukaryota; Viridiplantae; Streptophyta; Magnoliopsida; Poales; Poaceae
Exons: 2
Source: RefSeq, a predicted model, not a curated record
CGUCCGUCUGCCUUGCCACCUGCGAACAUGCCCCCGCACGCGUGAUUAGGAAGGUUCAUCAAUCACGGCAUCUCUUUCCUAUGGUGCGGCAUCUCUUUCCGUCCUCUUCCUCCGCAUUCGCCCUCCAUCCGCUGGUGCCCGCCGCCGAACCCGGCCCUCCGUCUAUCACUCGCGUGUGGUGCCUUCGGUCCCCUUGCUCCACCGUGCACCCUCCCCCCCCCCCGCAGUCCUCGCCAUCGGCCUUGCUCCCCCACGAUUCGUACGUUGCCCAGCACUCUUGCACUUGCGAUGCACUCGCUAGCCCUCGCCUUCGGCCUCGUGCCGCCGCCAGCCAUCACCCUUGCCGUCGUGGUGAGGGUGGCGCACGCGUGGAGAAGCGUGAGGUCGGGUUCGAGGGAUCUGACGAUGACAGUGCAAGGACAAGGGCUGGCAACGCCGGCGCAAGGGUCGGGGCCUUCUACUCAGCACUUGUGCGAUUGCCAUACCGUACAACCUCCUCAUCGAUGUCCAACCUCGCCACAUGUGUCGAUCUCGAUCUGGAUCUUCGAUGGUCCAACCUGAACCUCACGUUGUACUGGAAUCUGGAAACGGAGGCGGCCAGUUGGUGGAGCACUUACCUUCCAAGCAUAUACAUACAAUUGACCAACACUGCACGGAAGUACACUUCAUCCUACCAUGGUGAAAACAUGUAGCUUUGCCACUGCUGGCCUCUCACCAUCGAUAUGCUUGGUCGCCGGCAUGGUAGUGAGGGUGCCACUCAUGGAUAAUAUCUGUGUUUUAAGCUUGAGAAUGUAUCUGAAACUAAUGCUACACAUGGCUACUUCUCUCAGUAAUCUUUAUUUGACUUUGUAUCAUCUUUAGGCUUGUGGCACCUCUAGCGGUAUUAUCAGUUUGGUGUAUUUUUCUCAUAUGAGUGCAUCUUUAAUUUGGGUUAUCAUAUUGUACAAACAUUUAUUGCUUGAUAGUAAGUGAGUAUUUUUCCCUCUAUCUCCA